This 440-nucleotide ribosomal RNA is filed under the name uncultured bacterium. RNAcentral describes it as "bacterial SSU rRNA". It matches the Rfam family "Bacterial small subunit ribosomal RNA", at positions 339 to 794 of the family's 1533-position model. The record is from RNAcentral.
UUACGGGAGGCAGCAGUGAGGAAUAUUGCACAAUGGGCGAAAGCCUGAUGCAGCAACGCCGCGUGAGGGACGAAGGCCUUCGGGUCGUAAACCUCUUUUCUGAGGGACGAGACAAGGACGGUACCUCAGGAAUAAGUCUCGGCUAACUACGUGCCAGCAGCCGCGGUAAAACGUAGGAGGCGAGCGUUAUCCGGAUUUACUGGGCGUAAAGCGCACGCAGGCGGCUCGGCAAGUUGGGCGUUAAAGCUCCUGGCUUAACUGGGAGAGGUCGUUCGAAACUACCGGGCUUGAGGUUGGGAGAGGGGUGUGGAAUUCCCGGUGUAGUGGUGGAAUGCGUAGAUAUCGGGAGGAACACCAGUGGCGAAGGCGGCACCCUGGCCCACACCUGACGCUGAUGUGCGAAAGCGUGGGGAGUAAACAGGAUUAGAUACCCCGGUAGU